This 1383-nucleotide ribosomal RNA is filed under the name human gut metagenome. RNAcentral describes it as "bacterial LSU rRNA". It matches the Rfam family "Bacterial large subunit ribosomal RNA", at positions 1100 to 2494 of the family's 2925-position model. The record is from RNAcentral.
GUUGGCUUGGAAGCAGCCAUUCAUUUAAAGAGUGCGUAACAGCUCACUAGUCGAGGAGUCUGGCGUGGAUAAUAAUCGGGUAUUAAGUUGUCUACCGAAGCAGUGGGAUCAUUGAAAUGAUCGGUAGGGGAGCAUUCCAGUCAGCGUCGAAGGCGUACCGCGAGGUAUUCUGGAGCGUCUGGAAAAGCAAAUGUAGGUAUAAGUAACGAUAAAGGGGGCGGGAAACCCCCUCGCCGAAAGACUAAGGUUUCCUGAUCAACGCUAAUCGGAUCAGGGUAAGUCGGGUCCUAAGGCUCAGCCGAAGGGCGAUGCCGAUGGCAGAAACGGUUAAUAUUCCGUUACUACCUCCAGGAGUGAUGUGGAGACGCAGUAGUGACAAUGCCGCCAUCUGACGGAAUAGAUGGUUGAAGGGUGUAGAUGUUGAUCUUGGCAGGCAAAUCCACCAUGAGAAUCGAACCUGAUAGUAUGCCGCGUCCCUCGGGACAAGGCAAUAGUGCAUGUAAUCAUGCUGCCAAGAAAAUCCGCUAAACUAAAUCCUGUAGGUACCCGUACCGUAAACGGACACACGUAGUCGGGAUGAAUAUUCUAAGGCGCUUGAGUGAUUCACGGUUAAGGAACUAGGCAAACUGACCCUGUAACUUCGGGAUAAAGGGUCCCUACCCGGUGACGGGAGGGCGCAGAGAAUAGGUCCAGGCAACUGUUUAACAAAAACACAGGGCUGUGCGAAAUCGAAAGAUCCUGUAUACAGCCUGACACCUGCCCGGUGCUGGAAGGUUAAGAGGAGACGUCAUCGUUGAGAGAAGCGUUGAAUUGAAGCCCCAGUAAACGGCGGCCGUAACUAUAACGGUCCUAAGGUAGCGAAAUUCCUUGUCGGGUAAGUUCCGACCUGCACGAAUGGUGUAAUGAUCUGGACGCUGUCUCAACCGUGAGCUCAGUGAAAUUGUAGUAUCGGUGAAGAUGCCGAUUACCCGCGAUGGGACGAAAAGACCCCGUGAACCUUUACUAUAGCUUAUCAUUGAAUCUGGGCACGUGAUGUGUAGGAUAGGUCGGAGGCUUUGAAGGGGGUACGCCAGUAUCCUUGGAGCCGCUGUUGAAAUACGACCCUUCAUUUGUUUGGAUUCUAACCCGUGUAUAUGGGGACACUGAUUGGUGGGUAGUUUGACUGGGGUGGUCGCCUCCAAAAGCGUAACGGAGGCUUCUAAAGGUGCCCUCACGGCGAUUGGUAACCGCCGUUAGAGUGUAAUGGCAUAAGGGCGCUUGACUGGGAGACUGACAAGUCGAUCAGGUAGGAAACUAGAGCAUAGUGAUCCGGUGUUUCCGUAUGGAAGGGACAUCGCUCAAAGGAUAAAAGGUACUCCGGGGAUAACAGGCUGAUCCCUCCCA